RNAcentral lists this ribosomal RNA (436 nucleotides) under uncultured bacterium. RNAcentral's name for it is "bacterial SSU rRNA". It matches the Rfam family "Bacterial small subunit ribosomal RNA", at positions 29 to 462 of the family's 1533-position model. The record is from RNAcentral.
AGUGAACGCUGGCGGCAGGCCUAAUACAUGCAAGUCGAACGGCAGCACAGUGGAGCUUGCUCCAUGGGUGGCGAGUGGCGGACGGGUGAGGAAUACAUGGGAAUCUGCCCAGUCGUGGGGAUAACGUAGGGAAACUUACGCUAAUACCGCAUGCGCCCUUCGGGGAAAGCCGGGGACCGUAAGGCCUGGCGCGAUUGGAUGAGCCCAUGUCGGAUUAGCUAGUUGGCGGGGUAACGGCCCACCAAGGCGACGAUCCGUAGCUGGUCUGAGAGGAUGAUCAGCCACACUGGAACUGAGACACGGUCCAGACUCCUACGGGAGGCAGCAGUAGGGAAUAUUGGACAAUGGGCGCAAAGCCUGAUCCAGCCAUGCCGCGUGAGUGAAGAAGGCCCUCGGGUUGUAAAGCUCUUUGUCCGGAAAGAAAAGCAACUGGGUU